Molecule: ribosomal RNA, 204 nt
Filed under: Xylariaceae sp.
Lineage: Eukaryota; Fungi; Ascomycota; Sordariomycetes; Xylariales; Xylariaceae
Description: partial large subunit ribosomal RNA
Source: RNAcentral
AAGCGUUUGCGACCAGACCUUUUCCUGGUGGAUCAUCCGGUGUUCUCACCGGUGCACUUCGCCAGGUUUAGGCCAGCAUCGGUUCCUGUAGGGGGAUAAAAGCCUGAGGAAUGUAGCUCCCACGGGAGUGUUAUAGCCCUGAGCAUAAUACCCUUACGGGGACCGAGGACCGCGCUUUGGCAAGGAUGCUGGCAUAAUGGUCGU